GCAAAGUGAUCCAAAUGUCCACUUGCAGAUUCUACAAAAGGAGUGUUUCCAAACUGCUCAACCAAAAGAAAGGUUCAACUCUGUGAGAUGAACGCACACAUCACAAGGAAGUUUCUCAGAAUUCUUCUGUCUAGUUUUUAUGUGAAGAUAUUUCCUUUUCCACCAUAGGCCUCAAAGCGCUCCAAAUGUCCACUUGCAGAUACUACAAAAACAGAGUUUCAAAACUGCUCAAUCAAAAGAAACGUUUAACUCUGUGAGAUGAAUGCACACAUCACAAAGAAGUUUCUCAGAUUGCUUCUGUCUAGAUUUUAUGUGAAGAUAUUUCCUUUUCUACCAUAGACCACAGAGCGCUCCAAAUGUCCACUUGCAGAUUCUACAAAAAGAGAGUUUCAAAACUGCUUAAUAAAAAGAAAGGUUUAUCU
Molecule: long non-coding RNA, 422 nt
Filed under: Homo sapiens (human)
Lineage: Eukaryota; Metazoa; Chordata; Mammalia; Primates; Hominidae
Description: HSALNT0396927
Source: RNAcentral